This 76-nucleotide transfer RNA is filed under the name bacterium. RNAcentral describes it as "tRNA-Thr". It matches the Rfam family "tRNA". Rfam says of the family: Transfer RNA (tRNA) molecules are approximately 80 nucleotides in length. Their secondary structure includes four short double-helical elements and three loops (D, anti-codon, and T loops). Further hydrogen bonds mediate the characteristic L-shaped molecular structure. tRNAs have two regions of fundamental functional importance: the anti-codon, which is responsible for specific mRNA codon recognition, and the 3' end, to which the tRNAs corresponding amino acid is attached (by aminoacyl-tRNA synthetases). tRNAs cope with the degeneracy of the genetic code in two manners: having more than one tRNA (with a specific anti-codon) for a particular amino acid; and 'wobble' base-pairing, i.e. permitting non-standard base-pairing at the 3rd anti-codon position. The record is from RNAcentral.
GCUGGCAUAGCUCAGAAGGUAGAGCAGUUGAUUUGUAAUCAUCAGGUCGUGGGUUCGAUUCCUGCUGCCAGCACCA